RNAcentral lists this ribosomal RNA (253 nucleotides) under uncultured bacterium. Its description in RNAcentral is "partial 16S ribosomal RNA". It matches the Rfam family "Bacterial small subunit ribosomal RNA", at positions 524 to 776 of the family's 1533-position model. The record is from RNAcentral.
UACGUAGGUGGCGAGCGUUGUCCGGAUUUACUGGGCGUAAAGGGAGCGUAGGCGGACUUUUAAGUGAGAUGUGAAAUACUCGGGCUCAACUUGAGUGCUGCAUUUCAAACUGGAAGUCUAGAGUGCAGGAGAGGAGAAUGGAAUUCCUAGUGUAGCGGUGAAAUGCGUAGAUAUAUGAAGGAACACCGGUGGCGAAAGCGGCUCUCUGGCCUGUAACUGACACUGAGGCUCGAAAGCGUGGGGAGCAAACAGG